AUUUACAGUGGACGUAGUGGUGCGCAGCAGGUGGUAGACUAGGUAUUUCCAUAAAUACACUAUGUUUACAGAAUUGCGGCCAGUGGAGCAACAUAGCUGAUGAGUUAAUAGCACUAGUUCUUCAGACAAAUAACUUAAUUUUCAACCUAUAAAGCAUAUUUAGCUGUAGGUGGGGCCAUUUAGCUGUAAGAUCUGGCUUUUGUUCUGUUAAGCCCUUAGUGUAAUGGAUUUCAGAGUGAAGACCAUAGCGCCUUUUCCUAGUCAAGUAUCGGGCAGCUGUAUGUCUUUUCAGAAAUGCACAUGUCUUCUUAAGCAUGUCAUUGUGUUUGCUUUUAAUAAGAUAGGCAAUAAACUCAUAACCUUUAGACAAAUUAGCAUCUGUAAAUUCAGAUUUCACUAUUUCAGAGUCAGCCAGACCAUGAUUGAGCUUAAGGAUUGUGCUGCGGAUGCAGCCUGUGCAGUUCCGGGAGAAAGUCACUGUGUUGGGCAAUGCGGUCUGGUAUCAGGUCUAGAUGAUCCUUGCCUGACUGCGGGUUUGUGUACACCUCAAUCCCACUCUGUGUCCUGAACAGAGGCCGCAGUGGUGCAGCGCUUGUGGACGAUCCACCAACAUCCUGAAAGGUCAACACUACACCAAGCUGGGAAAAUUGAUCCUGAUAGUCAUCCCCAGGUAGUGGAAUGAAUGUACACUGAACUACAGAGGAAUCAAACCCAAAUGACUUUCCUGCCACGACAUUAGUGUGGCCACUCGCGUAGGAAUUCCUUAGCAAACGUGCUCUUUUGCAUGGUGACUGUGGGCAUUUUUGCAAAACUUACGCUUUCAACACUGGAUUUUAAAGGGAAUACUUAAUAAAAUGUCGCUAACAGGACUUAUUUAUAUGAGAGAGACUAUCUGGAUGCGCAUUAAGUGUCACUUUGUGUCUUAAGCUGUUGAAGGAGCGAUUUGCGCCUUUUUAAGUGUUAAUUUUUGGUAGCCGGCUUGUAUCGGCUUGAAAGCUGCAAAUUAUGCCUCUCAUCAUAAUAGCAUUAAUUUUUGUAAAUGCCAUGUGUAUGUUUAGAUUGUAAGUGAAGCUUUUAAUAAGAAUUUUCUUUAAAAACAUGAUUUUA
This is a long non-coding RNA of Dreissena polymorpha, 1107 nucleotides long. RefSeq lists it as uncharacterized. The record is from RefSeq and is a predicted model, not a curated record. The transcript is spliced from 2 exons. Lineage: Eukaryota; Metazoa; Mollusca; Bivalvia; Myida; Dreissenidae.